Molecule: ribosomal RNA, 164 nt
Filed under: Lachnospiraceae bacterium
Lineage: Bacteria; Bacillati; Bacillota; Clostridia; Lachnospirales; Lachnospiraceae
Description: partial 23S ribosomal RNA
Rfam family: Bacterial large subunit ribosomal RNA
Source: RNAcentral
UCCGGAAGGGAUAAACGCUGAAGGCAUCUAAGCGUGAAGCCCCCCUCAAGAUGAGAUAUCCCAAUAAGUAAGACCCCUUAAAGACUAUGAGGUAGAUAGGGCUGAGGUGUAAGCACAGCAAUGUGUUCAGCUGACAGUCACUAAUCGGUCGAGGGCUUAACCAA